This 75-nucleotide transfer RNA is filed under the name Staphylococcus haemolyticus. RNAcentral's name for it is "tRNA-Gly (TCC) (tRNA-Gly-TCC-3-1)". RNAcentral also lists the same sequence under 7 other names. Lineage: Bacteria; Bacillati; Bacillota; Bacilli; Caryophanales; Staphylococcaceae. The record is from RNAcentral.
GCGGGAGUAUUUCAACUGUUAGAAUAUGUUCCUUCCCGGAACAAGGUAUAGGUGUAAAUCCUAUCUUCCGCUCCA